GAUGAACGCUGGCGGCGUGCCUAAUACAUGCAAGUCGAGCGAACAGACGAGGAGCUUGCUCCUCUGACGUUAGCGGCGGACGGGUGAGUAACACGUGGAUAACCUACCUAUAAGACUGGGAUAACUUCGGGAAACCGGAGCUAAUACCGGAUAAUAUAUUGAACCGCAUGGUUCAAUAGUGAAAGACGGUUUUGCUGUCACUUAUAGAUGGAUCCGCGCCGCAUUAGCUAGUUGGUAAGGUAACGGCUUACCAAGGCAACGAUGCGUAGCCGACCUGAGAGGAUGAUCGGCCACACUGGAACUGAGACACGGUCCAGACUCCUACGGGAGGCAGCAGUAGGGAAUCUUCCGCAAUGGGCGAAAGCCUGACGGAGCAACGCCGCGUGAGUGAUGAAGGUCUUCGGAUCGUAAAACUCUGUUAUUAGGGAAGAACAAAUGUGUAAGUAACUUUGCACGUCUUGACGGUACCUAAUCAGAAAGCCACGGCUAACUACGUG
RNAcentral lists this ribosomal RNA (497 nucleotides) under uncultured bacterium. RNAcentral's name for it is "partial 16S ribosomal RNA". It matches the Rfam family "Bacterial small subunit ribosomal RNA", at positions 28 to 507 of the family's 1533-position model. The record is from RNAcentral.